GUGGGGAAUCUUGCGCAAUGGGCGAAAGCCUGACGCAGCCAUGCCGCGUGAAUGAUGAAGGUCUUAGGAUUGUAAAAUUCUUUCACCGGGGACGAUAAUGACGGUACCCGGAGAAGAAGCUCCGGCUAACUUCGUGCCAGCAGCCGCGGUAAUACGAAGGGGGCUAGCGUUGCUCGGAAUUACUGGGCGUAAAGGGCGCGUAGGCGGACAGCUUAGUCAGAGGUGAAAGCCCAGGGCUCAACCUUGGAAUUGCCUUUGAUACUGGCUGUCUUGAGUUUGGGAGAGGUAAGUGGAACUCCGAGUGUAGAGGUGAAAUUCGUAGAUAUUCGGAAGAACACCAGUGGCGAAGGCGACUCACUGGCCCAAUACUGACGCUGAGGCGCGAAAGCGUGGGGAGCAAACAGGAUUAGAUACCCUAGUAGUCC
This 425-nucleotide ribosomal RNA is filed under the name uncultured bacterium. RNAcentral describes it as "partial 16S ribosomal RNA". It matches the Rfam family "Bacterial small subunit ribosomal RNA", at positions 354 to 796 of the family's 1533-position model. The record is from RNAcentral.